CGCCAGGUACAGCCAAUGUCUGAAUGUGAAUCAUGUCAGGUCGGGAACGAAGCAGCAUUAAGCAAUCUCAGAUGUGUGCGCUGCCACCUGGCUUUU
RNAcentral lists this signal recognition particle RNA (96 nucleotides) under Candidatus Cloacimonadota bacterium. RNAcentral describes it as "signal recognition particle sRNA small type". It matches the Rfam family "Bacterial small signal recognition particle RNA". From Rfam's summary of the family: The signal recognition particle (SRP) is a universally conserved ribonucleoprotein involved in the co-translational targeting of proteins to membranes. Archaeal SRP consists of a 7S RNA and homologues of the eukaryotic SRP19 and SRP54 proteins. In most bacteria, the SRP consists of a 4.5S RNA and the Ffh protein (a homologue of the eukaryotic SRP54 protein). The record is from RNAcentral. RNAcentral also lists the same sequence under 3 other names. Lineage: Bacteria; Pseudomonadati; Candidatus Cloacimonadota.